UCCGGCUUACCACCGGCGGUCCCAUUAGAGUGCCCAACUUAAUGAUGGCAACUAAUGGCGUGGGUUGCGCUCGUUGCGGGACUUAACCCAACAUCUCACGACACGAGCUGACGACAGCCAUGCAGCACCUGUGCAGGAUCUCCGAAGAGGGGCUCUCGUUUCUGAGAGCUUGCUCCUGCAUGUCAAGCCUAGGUAAGGUUCUUCGCGUCGCAUCGAAUUAAGCCACAUGCUCCGCCGCUUGUGCGGGUCCCCGUCAAUUCCUUUGAGUUUUAGCCUUGCGGCCGUACUCCCCAGGCGGGGUGCUUAAUGCGUUAGCUGCGGCACGGAAAGGGUUGAAGACCUCCCCACACCUAGCACCCAACGUUUACGGCUGGGACUAC
Molecule: unclassified non-coding RNA, 380 nt
Filed under: uncultured bacterium
Lineage: Bacteria
Description: contains 16S-23S intergenic spacer region
Source: RNAcentral